CCGGAUUCCAUAUCUCAUUUUUUCAUGGAUUCCGGAUUCCAUAUCUCAUUUUUUCAUGGAUUCCGGAUCCCAUAUCUCAUUUUUUCAUGGAUUCCAGAUUCCGGAUUACCUGUCAUGGGGCGAUAUGGUAGUGCACUGCCAUGCUCAGAGUAUGGCAAGCCAUGGCACACCAUGGCAAUGUAUGGCAACACAUUGCUGAUGUGCCAUUAGGUGCCAUACUCAACGUAUGGCACUCCAUGGCAGUGUAUGGCAAAACAUUGCCAUGACGUGCCAUUAGGUGCUAUACUCAUAGUAUGGCAAGCCAUGGCACACCAUGGUAGUGUAUGGCAAACAUUGCCAUGACGUGCCAUUAGGUGCUAUACUCGUAGUAUGGCAAGCCAUGGCACACCAUGGUAGUGCAUGGCAAACAUUGCCAUGACGUGCCAUUAGGUGCUAUACUCAUAGUAUGGCAAAUCAUGGCAAUGUAUGGCAGGUUAUGGCAAGCCAUGGCGCAUGAUGGCACACCAUGGCAAGGUACGGCAAAACAUUGCCAUGACGUGCCGUGUCAUUCAAUACUCAAAGUAUGGCAAGUCAUGGCAAUAUUUUGCCAUACGCUGCCAUGGCUUGCCAUACUAUGGGUCCUGACGUGCCAUGGUCCACCAAAGUGUUGCCAUAACCUGCCAUGACGUGCCAUGGCUUACCAUAUUUUUAGUGGUUCGUCAUGGCAAUGUUUUGCCAUACCUUGCCAUGGUCCACCAAAGUAUUGCCAUGAGCUGCCAUGGUGUGCCAUGUCUUGCCAUGCUAUGAGUAUGGCAGUGAGAAAGAUUUGAGGGAGAUUUUAAGAAAAAGAUUUGUACACGAGAAAAAAAUUGGUCGCACAAGCAAAAGAUUUGUCACAAAAGUAAAAGAUUUGUCACACACGUAAGAUAUUUGUCACAUAAGGGAAAGUUCAUUUAUUAUCUCGAGGGGGGGGCGUAAGGAUUUUGAUAAAAGUAAGGGAUAAAAUUAGUUGACCCCCCUUCUUCAGAAGGAACAAAAUUUUCCAUGCCCCCCUUACGCUUUUCGAAAUUAGGAACGGCAAUGAAAAUGUCAAAAACGCGAUUAGAAAAAAAGAGAUUAGCUGUAAGUUGGACAGAAAGUGGAGAAGAAGGAAUUGGCUGGAAACAUUUAUUCAGAAAAAGUGAAGGGACUCAAUUUCUCAAAGAUGCGUUUAACUCCAGCUAAUAAGAUGCGACUAACCCCACCUGAUAAUGGUUGAUGCUAACUAAAGAUGACGCAAAAAAUGCAAAAAAUAUUGUGGCAAAAAAAAAAAAAUUGACAAAAAAUGACAAAUACAAAAUAUUAAUUGAAACAUCCCGCACGAAAUUUAUUCACACAAAAAAAUAAUAUAAAACUGAUAAAAAAAAUCUGGACGUCCAAAAAUAAACCGCAUUGAAAAUCAACAUUGAAUAUCAACAUUGAAAAUCAAAGGUAAAUUUCACCAACAUAGAAAUUCGAAAAUUUAAUUUAAUUUCGCGUUUUAUCUACGUGGCCAUCGUUAUAAUAACAAGGGAUCUGGUGACACUAUAAGGACGAUGGCCAAGUGUUAUAUAUAAUAGACCAGGGGGUCGUUUCUCAAAACUCCCGGUAAUAUUCGGGCCCUUUAGGGUACCGGGAGAGUUUUCGGGAUACUUUUCCGGGCGAGGAAGAGCGUUUCUCAAAGCUAGCGGUAGCGUCCCGGUUCUUUACGGGUUCCCGAUAAGAAAAUUAUAUUUUUCAGAGUUAAUGAAUAGAUUGGCUAAAUAAUUAUUGAAUAUCAAUAAAAAUCGUAGAUUUGUCGAUGUCUGUAGACAACUUUACGGGUUCCCGAUAAGAAAAUUAUAUUUUUCAGAGUUAAUGAAUAGAUUGGCUAAAUAAUUAUUGAAUAUCAAUAAAAAUCGUAGAUUUGUCGAUGUCUGUAGACAACUGGUACCCCAGACACUGCUGUGGCAUCGGCACUUUUCGAAAAAAAAUACAAAGAACAAUUAGAUAAAGUCUCAUUUUGUAGCAAACUUCCAAUACCUUCGCAAAGUUGUUUACAUUUUUUUAGGCGCACGGUGACAGCUAAAUGUCAAAUCAUUUGACAAAAAAGAAACCUGAUUGGCUGGUAGGGAAUCCCAUAAAAUGAUGUUAGCCGUGAUUGACCCACUUCUUCCCGGGCAGUGAUAUGGUUUCCUCAAGUGAUGAAAAUUCACUACAACUCGACACAACUUGAAAAUGGCGAGAUUUAAUCGGAAGAAAAGCACCAAAUUGGAUAGUUCAACUUGGCCAAUUCUAGAUGAAUAGUUGAUCUAUAAAUUCAGCUGAAAAUAUUAAAGAAAAACAUCGUUUUGGGUAUCAAUAAUCGCAUUAAAAGUAAUUCCCGGUAAGUUAACGGGAACUCUUGAGCUCCCGUAAGUUACCGGGCGAGUUACCGGGAUUUUUUCCGGGCCCGACAAUAACAGGCGUUUUGAGAAACACCCGUAAAGUUUAUCGGGGGCUAACCGGGUGACUUUCCGUGUUUCCGGGUUCAUCGGGACUUUUGAGAAACGACCCCCAGGACUCCUUGCGCACUUCCGCCACGUGGAUACAAUAUUCCCGCGCUUUCUAUGGGUGUCCUGUGGUAGAAACUCCAAAUAAGGAUAUACUUGGAGCGAGGUGCGAACUUUUGCCUCCAGCAGUUCAGCGUUCCGUCCCCCUUAGGCUACUCGUGGCGGAACUGACUCAAUGUGCUGAAUGUGAGAAGAAGCGUCCUGACCUUUGGGAUAUAGAAAUACCACCAAAACAAAACGCCGUAUGGCAAAAUCUUAAUGCCAAGAUGUCCGAAAAGAGGACCAAAUCCCAGAAUGCGGCUAAAGGUGCAUCUCCCCCGUCACUAGUCCAGCGACUAGCGGCGGAGCCAGACAACAAGCAGACUUACAGGCCAGUCGAGCCUAGAAAGUUUGUGGACUUCGAGUACGACGAGUUGAUUCUCGAAAACCUCAAAUCGGCAUGUGCCGCUUUUGCGCUGUUUGGAGAAAUUUAGAAUUCCCUCUAUCGGACCCAAAUGCGCUCUAAUCGCUUAAACAUGUAAAUAAUAGACAGCUACAAGUACUACAUAACGUUGGAUUGAAUUUAUAGCGGAGCCAGCGGAACUAAUGGUAUAUAACUAUGCGAUACCCUGCGUGUCGCCCGCCCGCCCGCCUGCCCGUGGAGCCAGCACAAUUUGCAAUAACUUAGCAAAACGCCACCUCAGUGAAAUAAUUAUACAAGAAUAUAUUUUAGCACUUUACGAGAAUGCUCCAUACUUAAUAAAACCCCGAAAGUUGCAUCAAAACUUACAAUUAUUUAGUUUUUAGUGUUUUUGUAUUUACACUCACGGGAAUCCUGCGUCUAAUUUUUCUCGCGUUUUGCUCUUCUAACUCGCGGCCGAUACCGUGAAUUGAUAAAGUUUUUGCAUUAUUUUCGUCGUAGCUAAAGCCAAGAAAGAAAUUCGACACAUCUUACACAUUUAUAAUAAAAAGACGUACAAACGAUGGAUGGAAGGACAAAGGAUGGGUUUGGAAAAAGAAGGCGAAUCCCGACUCAAGCAAGCUGACAGCUUUAAAGGCAUGAUGCUAGGGCAGGAUGUGUUCAUUAAUACAGCUAAUAAGUAACAAAAA
Long non-coding RNA from Nematostella vectensis (starlet sea anemone), 3617 nucleotides. RefSeq lists it as uncharacterized. Lineage: Eukaryota; Metazoa; Cnidaria; Anthozoa; Actiniaria; Edwardsiidae. The transcript is spliced from 2 exons. The record is from RefSeq and is a predicted model, not a curated record.